UAACACGUGGGUAACCUGCCUGUAAGACUGGGAUAACUCCGGGAAACCGGAGCUAAUACCGGAUAGUUCCUUGAACCGCAUGGUUCAAGGAUGAAAGACGGUUUCGGCUGUCACUUACAGAUGGACCCGCGGCGCAUUAGCUAGUUGGUGGGGUAAUGGCUCACCAAGGCGACGAUGCGUAGCCGACCUGAGAGGGUGAUCGGCCACACUGGGACUGAGACACGGCCCAGACUCCUACGGGAGGCAGCAGUAGGGAAUCUUCCGCAAUGGACGAAAGUCUGACGGAGCAACGCCGCGUGAGUGAUGAAGGUUUUCGGAUCGUAAAGCUCUGUUGUUAGGGAAGAACAAGUGCGAGAGUAACUGCUCGCACCUUGACGGUACCUAACCAGAAAGCCACGGCUAACUACGUGCCAGCAGCCGCGGUAAUACGUAGGUGGCAAGCGUUGUCCGGAAUUAUUGGGCGUAAAGGGCUCGCAGGCGGUUUCUUAAGUCUGAUGUGAAAGCCCCCGGCUCAACCGGGGAGGGUCAUUGGAAACUGGGAAACUUGAGUGCAGAAGAGGAGAGUGGAAUUCCACGUGUAGCGGUGAAAUGCGUAGAGAUGUGGAGGAACACCAGUGGCGAAGGCGACUCUCUGGUCUGUAACUGACGCUGAGGAGCGAAAGCGUGGGGAGCGAACAGGAUUAGAUACCCUGGUAGUCCACGCCGUAAACGAUGAGUGCUAAGUGUUAGGGGGUUUCCGCCCCUUAGUGCUGCAGCUAACGCAUUAAGCACUCCGCCUGGGGAGUACGGUCGCAAGACUGAAACUCAAAGGAAUUGACGGGGGCCCGCACAAGCGGUGGAGCAUGUGGUUUAAUUCGAAGCAACGCGAAGAACCUUACCAGGUCUUGACAUCCUCUGACAACCCUAGAGAUAGGGCUUUCCCUUCGGGGACAGAGUGACAGGUGGUGCAUGGUUGUCGUCAGCUCGUGUCGUGAGAUGUUGGGUUAAGUCCCGCAACGAGCGCAACCCUUGAUCUUAGUUGCCAGCAUUUAGUUGGGCACUCUAAGGUGACUGCCGGUGACAAACCGGAGGAAGGUGGGGAUGACGUCAAAUCAUCAUGCCCCUUAUGACCUGGGCUACACACGUGCUACAAUGGACAGAACAAAGGGCUGCGAGACCGCAAGGUUUAGCCAAUCCCAUAAAUCUGUUCUCAGUUCGGAUCGCAGUCUGCAACUCGACUGCGUGAAGCUGGAAUUAGUAGUAAUCGCGGAUCAG
Molecule: ribosomal RNA, 1254 nt
Filed under: Bacillus pumilus
Lineage: Bacteria; Bacillati; Bacillota; Bacilli; Caryophanales; Bacillaceae
Description: bacterial SSU rRNA
Rfam family: Bacterial small subunit ribosomal RNA
Source: RNAcentral